AAUCCAUAGGUUAAUGAGGCGAACCGGGGGAACUGAAACAUCUAAGUACCCCGAGGAAAAGAAAUCAACCGAGAUUCCCCCAGUAGCGGCGAGCGAACGGGGAGGAGCCCAGAGCCUGAAUCAGCAUGUGUGUUAGUGGAAGCGUCUGGAAAGGCGCGCGAUACAGGGUGACAGCCCCGUACACAAAAGCGCAUGUGCUGUGAGCUCGAUGAGUAGGGCGGGACACGUGGUAUCCUGUCUGAAUAUGGGGGGACCAUCCUCCAAGGCUAAAUACUCCUGACUGACCGAUAGUGAACCAGUACCGUGAGGGAAAGGCGAAAAGAACCCCGGCGAGGGGAGUGAAAAAGAACCUGAAACCGUGUACGUACAAGCAGUGGGAGCACAGGUUUACCUGUGUGACUGCGUACCUUUUGUAUAAUGGGUCAGCGACUUAUAUUCUGUAGCAAGGUUAACCGAAUAGGGGAGCCGGAGGGAAACCGAGUCUUAAUUGGGCGUUAAGUUGCAGGGUAUAGACCCGAAACCCGGUGAUCUAGCCAUGGGCAGGUUGAAGGUUGGGUAACACUAACUGGAGGACCGAACCGACUAAUGUUGAAAAAUUAGCGGAUGACCUGUGGCUGGGGGUGAAAGGCCAAUCAAACCGGGAGAUAGCUGGUUCUCCCCGAAAGCUAUUUAGGUAGCGCCUCGUGAAUUCAUCUCCGGGGGUAGAGCACUGUUUCGGCUAGGGGGCCAUCCCGGCUUACCAACCCGAUGCAAACUGCGAAUACCGGAGAAUGUUAUCACGGGAGACACACGGCGGGUGCUAACGUCCGUCGUGAAGAGGGAAACAACCCAGACCGCCAGCUAAGGUCCCAAAGUCAUGGUUAAGUGGGAAACGAUGUGGGAAGGCCCAGACAGCCAGGAUGUUGGCUUAGAAGCAGCCAUCAUUUAAAGAAAGCGUAAUAGCUCACUGGUCGAGUCGGCCUGCGCGGAAGAUGUAACGGGGCUAAACCAUGCACCGAAGCUGCGGCAGCGAACGUAUCACUUAAAGCGAUUCAGCGGGUUACGAUUGACGGAGCGAAGCGACGUCAAAGCGUAUACAAAGUCGAGUCGGUUUAAGGAUACGUUCGUUGGGUAGGGGAGCGUUCUGUAAGCCUGCGAAGGUGGCCUGUGAGGGUUGCUGGAGGUAUCAGAAGUGCGAAUGCUGACAUAAGUAACGAUAAAGCGGGUGAAAAGCCCGCUCGCCGGAAGACCAAGGGUUCCUGUCCAACGUUAAUCGGGGCAGGGUGAGUCGACCCCUAAGGCGAGGCCGAAAGGCGUAGUCGAUGGGAAACGGGUUAAUAUUCCCGUACUUGGUGUUACUGCGAAGGGGGGACGGAGAAGGCUAUGUUGGCCGGGCGACGGUUGUCCCGGUUUAAGCGUGUAGGUGUGUGUUCCAGGUAAAUCCGGUUCACUUUAACACUGAGGCGUGAUGACGAGGCACUACGGUGCUGAAGCAACAAAUGCCCUGCUUCCAGGAAAAGCCUCUAAGCAUCAGGUAACAUCAAAUCGUACCCCAAACCGACACAGGUGGUCAGGUAGAGAAUACCAAGGCGCUUGAGAGAACUCGGGUGAAGGAACUAGGCAAAAUGGUGCCGUAACUUCGGGAGAAGGCACGCUGACAUGUAGGUGAAGUGAUUUACUCAUGGAGCUGAAGUCAGUCGAAGAUACCAGCUGGCUGCAACUGUUUAUUAAAAACACAGCACUGUGCAAACACGAAAGUGGACGUAUACGGUGUGACGCCUGCCCGGUGCCGGAAGGUUAAUUGAUGGGGUCAGCGCAAGCGAAGCUCCUGAUCGAAGCCCCGGUAAACGGCGGCCGUAACUAUAACGGUCCUAAGGUAGCGAAAUUCCUUGUCGGGUAAGUUCCGACCUGCACGAAUGGCGUAAUGAUGGCCAGGCUGUCUCCACCCGAGACUCAGUGAAAUUGAACUCGCUGUGAAGAUGCAGUGUACCCGCGGCAAGACGGAAAGACCCCGUGAACCUUUACUAUAGCUUGACACUGAACAUUGAGCCUUGAUGUGUAGGAUAGGUGGGAGGCUUUGAAGCGUGGACGCCAGUCUGCGUGGAGCCGACCUUGAAAUACCACCCUUUAAUGUUUGAUGUUCUAACGUGGACCCGU
RNAcentral lists this ribosomal RNA (2136 nucleotides) under Salmonella enterica subsp. enterica serovar Infantis. RNAcentral's name for it is "partial 23S ribosomal RNA". It matches the Rfam family "Bacterial large subunit ribosomal RNA", at positions 161 to 2236 of the family's 2925-position model. The record is from RNAcentral. Lineage: Bacteria; Pseudomonadati; Pseudomonadota; Gammaproteobacteria; Enterobacterales; Enterobacteriaceae.